ACGGGUGAGUACACGUAAGCAACCUGCCUUUAAGACGAGAAUAACAAUUGGAAACAGUUGCUAAGGCUGGAUAGGAAAUAAAAGGCAUCUUUUUAUUUUUAAAAGACCUUUUUCGGAAGGUAUGCUUAAAGAGGGGCUUGCGUCACAUUAGUUAGUUGGUAGGGUAAAGGCCUACCAAGACGAUGAUGUGUAGCUGGACUGAGAGGUUGAACAGCCACAUUGGGACUGAGACACGGCCCAAACUCCUACGGGAGGCAGCAGUAGGGAAUUUUCGGCAAUGGAGGAAACUCUGACCGAGCAACGCCGCGUGAACGACGAAGUACUUCGGUAUGUAAAGUUCUUUUAUUGAAGAAGAAACAAUAGUGGAAAAACUAUCUUGACGUUAUUCAAUGAAUAAGCCCCGGCUAACUAUGUGCCAGCAGCCGCGGUAAUACAUAGGGGGCGAGCGUUAUCCGGAAUUAUUGGGCGUAAAGGGUGCGUAGGCGGUUUAAUAAGUCUCUAGUUUAAUUUCAACGCUUAACGUUGUCCUGCUAGAGAAACUGUUUAACUAGAGUGAGAUAGAGGUAAGCGGAAUUCCAUGUGUAGCGGUAAAAUGUGUAAAUAUAUGGAGGAACACCAGAGGCGUAGGCGGCUUACUGGGUCUUUACUGACGCUGAUGCACGAAAGCGUGGGGAGCAAACAGGAUUAGAUACCCUGGUAGUCCACGCCGUAAACUAUGAGUACUAAGUGUCGGGGUUAAACUCGGUACUGAAGUUAACACAUUAAGUACUCCGCCUGAGUAGUACGUACGCAAGUAUGAAAUUUAAAGGAAUUGACGGGAUCCCGCACAAGCGGUGGAUCAUGUUGUUUAAUUCGAAGAUACACGAAAAACCUUACCAGGUCUUGACAUACUCUGCAAAGCUAUAGAAAUAUAGUGGAGGUUAUCAGGGAUACAGGUGGUGCAUGGUUGUCGUCAGCUCGUGUCGUGAGAUGUUAGGUUAAGUUCUAAAACGAGCGCAACCCCUGUCGUUAAUUGCCAGCACGUUAUGGUGGGGACUUUAGCGAGACUGCCAAUGAAAAAUUGGAGGAAGGUGGGGAUUACGUCAAAUCAUCAUGUCCCUUAUGAUCUGGGCUACAAACGUGAUACAAUGGCUAUUACAAAGAGUAGCUGAAACGCGAGUUUUUGGCAAAUCUCAAAAAAAUAGUCUCAGUUCGGAUUGAAGUCUGCAACUCGACUUCAUGAAGUUGGAAUCGCUAGUAAUCGCGAAUCAGCAUGUCGCGGUGAAUACGUUCUCGGGGUUUGUACACACCGCCCGUCAAACCACGAAAGUGGACAAUACCCGAAAGCGACAGCCUAACUGCGUAAGCAGAGGGAAUCGUCUAAGGUAGGGUCGAUGAUUGGGGUUAAGUCGUAACAAGGUAUCCCUACCGGAAGGUGGGGAUGGAUCACCUCCUUUCU
RNAcentral lists this ribosomal RNA (1438 nucleotides) under Lethal yellowing phytoplasma. RNAcentral's name for it is "16S ribosomal RNA". It matches the Rfam family "Bacterial small subunit ribosomal RNA". Lineage: Bacteria; Bacillati; Mycoplasmatota; Mollicutes; Acholeplasmatales; Acholeplasmataceae. The record is from RNAcentral.